Oncorhynchus keta (chum salmon) is the source of this 1835-nucleotide long non-coding RNA. RefSeq lists it as uncharacterized. The record is from RefSeq and is a predicted model, not a curated record. Lineage: Eukaryota; Metazoa; Chordata; Actinopteri; Salmoniformes; Salmonidae. The transcript has 4 exons.
GUUUUGGCUAGAAGAAGAGAUCUCAGUGACUUUGAAAGAGGGGUCUGAAAGGAGCGGAGAGGUUUUAAAGGGUGUGUGAUAGUGAUGGUUAUAUCCUUUGACAGAGGGGCCUGAAAGGAGCGGAGGUUUUAAAGGGUGUGUGAUAGUGAUGGUUAUAUCCUUUGACAGAGGGGUCUGAAAGGAGCGGAGGUUUUAAAGGGUGUGUGAUAGUGAUGGUUAUAUCCUUUGACAGAGGGGUCUGAAAGGAGCGGAGGUUUUAAAGGGUGUGUGAUAGUGAUGGUUAUAUCCUUUGACAGAGGGGUCUGAAAGGAGCGGAGGUUUUAAAGGGUGUGUGAUAGUGAUGGUUAUAUCCUUUGACAGAGGGGUCUGAAAGGAGCAUAGAGGGUUUAAAGGGUGUGUGAUAGUGAUGGUUAUAUCCUUUGACAGAGGGGUCUGAAAGGAGCAUAGAGGUUUUAAAGGGUGUGUGAUAGUGAUGGUUAUAUCCUUUGAAAGAGGGGUCUGAAAGGAGCAUAGAGGUUUUAAAGGGUGUGUGAUAGUGAUGGUUAUAUCCUUUGACAGAGGGGUCUGAAAGGAGCAUAGAGGGUUUAAAGGGUGUGUGAUAGUGAUGGUUAUAUCCUUUGACAGAGGGGUCUGAAAGGAGCAUAGAGGUUUUAAAGGGUGUGUGAUAGUGAUGGUUAUAUCCUUUGACAGAGGGGUCUGAAAGGAGCAGAGGUUUUAAAGGGUGUGUGAUAGUGAUGGUUAUAUCCUUUGACAGAGGGGUCUGAAAGGAGCAUAGAGGUUUUAAAGGGUGUGUGAUAGUGAUGGUUAUAUCCUUUGACAGAGGGGUCUGAAAGGAGCAGAGGUUUUAAAGGGUGUGUGAUAGUGAUGGUUAUAUCCUUUGACAGAGGGGUCUGAAAGGAGCGGAGGUUUUAAAGGGUGUGUGAUAGUGAUGGUUAUAUCCUUUGACAGAGGGGUCUGAAAGGAGCGGAGGUUUUAAAGGGUGUGUGAUAGUGAUGGUUAUAUCCUUUGAAAGAGGGGUCUGAAAGGAGCAUAGAGGUUUUAAAGGGUGUGUGAUAGUGAUGGUUAUAUCCUUUGACAGAGGGGUCUGAAAGGAGCAUAGAGGUUUUAAAGGGUGUGUGAUAGUGAUGGUUAUAUCCUUUGAAAGAGGGGUCUGAAAGGAGCAUAGAGGUUUUAAAGGGUGUGUGAUAGUGAUGGUUAUAUCCUUUGACAGAGGGGUCUGAAAGGAGCAUAGAGGGUUUAAAGGGUGUGUGAUAGUGAUGGUUAUAUCCUUUAACAGAGGGGUCUGAAAGGAGCAGAGGUUUUAAAGGGUGUGUGAUAGUGAUGGUUAUAUCCGCGGGACAGUUUUGGGGGUUUUAAGGUCAUGAAAUAUUGUGUGGGUGGUGGGUUGAAGAAAGAAUACAAUACUUAACACUUAUUUUUCUUAACUGCAUUGUUGGUAAAGGGCUUGUAGGUGAUCAUUUCACUGUAAGGUCUACACCGGUUGUAUUCGGUGCUUGUCAUAAAUAAAACUAGAUUUGAUAAAAAAUAAUCCAUUAAUGUAUCAAUUUGAGGUUUUGUUGUCACUUACGCUUUUGACAAUUGACAAUGAUGUCAAAGCUGAGUUAAAUAAUAGACAAGCUGUGAAAUGGAAAGUUGAAAAUAAAGAGAAGGGAGGACCAGAACAGGAAAGUUUCGGUUAAGUGGUAAAAGAGGAUGAUAGCGGUGCCGGCCGUGUCGGGGGUGCCGGCCGUGUCGGGGGUGCCGGCCGUGAGUCACAAGACAGUGACUUCAAAUAGGCCUGUGUUAUCUCAAGGGAACUGUAGCUUACUGUUCAGAUGGGAUGAAUGGCAAAUGGA